AUAAGGAAAUUGGAGCACAGGUGGUUAACUUGGCCAAGAUCACAAAGCAAGAACACAGCACCACCAGUAUUUGAAACCUGGACAUUCUGAUCUCAGAGCCCAUUCUCACAAGCACUUGGAUAUGUUAUUUACUACUCGAUGAAAUAUAUGACUCUCUACUUUACCAGGAGUCCUUGGUUGGCACUAACAGUUAAGCAUUUGACCAAAAGGCUGGCAGUUCAAACCCACCUGGAGGUGCCUGGGAGAGAGGCCUGACGAUGCGCUUCCUAAACGUCACAACCAUGAAAACCCUACGUAGUGCAGUUCUACUCCACACACAUGGGGUCACGUGGGGUUGCCCUGAGUUGGAAUCAACUGAAUGGCAACAGGUUUUUUUUUUUUAGUUUUCUAUUUUACCUACCAUAAUGUUCUUUUCUAGCAGUUGUGAUCUUUCCUGAUGAUGUGCCUAAAGUAUUCGAGCCAAAGCCUCAGUGCUUUUAUUAGAGAACACAUAUAACUCAUUGAAAGUUUAAAGCUGAAUGGUAGUUGUAGACAGUGUAUGAUCAUGAAGCUUCCAAGAAUUAGAAACAUUUUGACCGUUGAAUUGCAGUUUAAUGGGCUGCACAGGAACAGGGAGACCCCUCUUCUGGACUUGGUCAUUUAAUGUCUCCUGAGCCUAUAUUCUCUUUUUUAUAAAAUAUUACUUUUUUUUUUUUUUUACCUCUCAGGAUUGCUAUUGGGAUAAUCAGAUAACAAAAUUUAUGUAAAAACCUUAAUACUUACUCUGUUCGUUGGCUCUUAUUUUUAACUGUUUAUGUGAAAUAAUUCAGGUUUACAGGAAAAUUGCAAUAGUACAGAGAAUUUCUGUAUACUCUUUAUGCAGAGUCAGUAAUUUUUAAACAUUUUGUCACGUUUACUUUAUCAUUCUCUCUCCCCCCUUUACACACACACACACGCACACGCAUAUGCACACGCACAGACAUGCAUAUUUAUAUUAUUAUGUUUUCUAAACCAUUUAAGAAUAGUUUGGAUGCAGUAUGCUCCUUUACCCCAUAUUUUUUUAAGAACAAGGAUGUUUUCUUACACAACCAUGUUGUUGUGUUAGGUGCCGUUUAGUUGGUUCCAACUCAUAGUAACCCUAUUGGACAGGGUGGAACUGCCCCAUAGGGUUUCUAAGGAGCAGCUGAUGGAUUUGAACUGCUGACCUUUUGGUUAGCAGCUGAGUUGUUAACCACUGCGCCACCAUAGUAAUGUUACGGUCAGGAAAUUUUAAUGUUGCGACAAUGUAUAGUCUGUAAUCCAGUUUUGCCAUUUUGUCAGUAAUUUUUUUUUAAGCAUUCUUUUCUUCUGGUAUAGGAUUUGGUCAAGAAUCAUGUAUUUCAUCUAGUUGUUUUAGCUAUUUAAUCUCUUUUAAUCUGGAGUAGUUCCUUAGCCUUUCUUUGUCUUUCAUGACCUUUUGAAGACUACAGUCCAGUUAUUUUGUGUCAUGUUAAUCAAUUUGGGUUUGCCGAUGUUUCCUUACGAUUAGAUUCAGAUUAAAUAACAUCAUGUGUCCCCAGGCUAUUACAUCUGGAGGCAUAGGAUACUGUCUUAGUUACACAGUACUGCUACUGUAACAGAAAUAUCACAAGUGGAUGGCUUUAAAGAACAGAAAUUAAUUUUUCCAUAGUUCUAGAGGUUAAAGUCCAGAUCACAGUCUGUGACAUGGCAGUUCUUUCUGUGGGCCUCUCUCCUCAAUUUUGAGGACUGCUGUCAAUCCUUGGCAUUCCUUGGUGCUCCAUGGCCUCAGUUGUUACAACUCUGAAGUAAUUAGGUUUAGGACUCACCCGACUCUGGUGUGACUUCAUUACAUAACAAAAGAAAACUGUUUCCAAACAGGGUUGUCUUUACAGCUGCAGAGGUUAGGAUUUCAAAACAUCUGGGGGGACACAAUUUAAUUCAUAACAUUCCACCCUUUGGCCUCCAAAAUUAAUGUCCUUCCCACAUGCAAAACACAUUUACCCUACCAUGUUAUCCCAAAAGUCUUAAUCUGUUCUAGCAUUAACUCAUCUUCUAAAUCAUCUAAAUUGAGCAUGAAUGGUACUCUGGGUGUAUUCCCCCCGGAGCAAAAUUCCUUUCUAUCUGGGGACCUGUGAAACCUAGAACGUCAUCUGCUUCUAAAGUACAAUGAUAAACUAGGCAUAAUGUAGACAUUUCCAUUCCAAAUAGGAGAAAUUGUAGGGGAAGAAGGGGUUUAGAUCAAACAAGUCUAAAACCCAACAGGGGAAAUCUCAUUAGCUCUCGAGGCUUGAAAAUGAUCUGUUUUCUAGAUACAUCUGGGCAGUGGCCCCUGCCCACUGUACUCGGGGCAUUGACAGUGAUCUCCAGAUUCUGGGUGGAGGUCUCUCAGUUCUGGGCAUCAGCACCACCUUCCAGGCCACAGCAAUGGCAACCCCUUACUCUUGGCUUUGGGUGGCUCAGUUCUCCUGGCCAACUGACAUGGCAGCCCCACACCUCAACUUUGCAUGGCAGUCCAUUCUCUUGGCCUACCCAAAAGGCUGUACCAACCUCUGGAACUGAGGUGGUGAUGACCCUACUCUUUGAAACUUAGGCAGUAGCUCCACUCUUCAAAACCGAGGAAGUGUUGGCUCUACUCUUUGAAACAUGGAAAGUGGCGGCCCUGCCCCUUGUGCUCUUUUUGACAGUUCUCCGGUUUCUAAGUUCCAGGGAUGUCCCUUUCUUUUCUUGGAGGACAACAGUUAUUUGCAACCAAGUAACUCCAUUGGAGGAGUCCUGUGGUGCAGUGGUUAAAGCACUUGGCUGCUAACCGAAAGGUCAGCAGCUCAAAUCACCCAGCCGCUUGGAAGAAAAAUGUGGCAAUCUGUUUCUGUAAAGAUUUACAGCGUUGGAAGGUCUAUGGGACAGCUCUGCUCUGUCCAGUGGGGUCACUAUGAGUUGGAAUUAACUCAAUGGCAACAUGUUUGGUUUGGUUUAGCUCCGUUGGCCUGUUUCUUGCCUGUAGAAUUGCAGGAGGCAGACAGAUUUUCUUCAUCUCCUGCUUGUCCCUGACCUUUUAAAUCUAAAUCGACAGGCCUUCUACUGAGGUUAUUGAUUAGGUUUAUCAGUCACAGGCCUAUUUGCUUUAGCAAAAGAUUGUGUUUUUACACCCUUAGUUUUUACAAUAA
Long non-coding RNA from Loxodonta africana (African savanna elephant), 3143 nucleotides. RefSeq lists it as uncharacterized. The record is from RefSeq and is a predicted model, not a curated record. The transcript has 2 exons. Lineage: Eukaryota; Metazoa; Chordata; Mammalia; Proboscidea; Elephantidae.